UGGGAACUAACAGUAUGUAAUAAGUAUAAUAUGUGUUAUAUAAUAAUGUAGUGUAAUAAUGUAUACAUGUUGAUGUAUUAACUCUACAAAGUGCAAAAAACUAUUAUAGACUAAUAUGGAUCAAAACUAGUUAAACUAGAUCCAACCCAUAUUUGUAAUAAUAAUAUGGGUCCAAAACCAAAUCAAUCCACCACCUAAAAACUAAUUAAUCAACCUAAUAGAUCCAAGUAGUUUUGGUUAACUAUAUAGUUUUCAACUUAAAUUGUCAAAUCUAUUCGUAAUAAUACCGUGUAGUGAAAAUAAGGGACGAAUGUGAGACCCCAAAUUUUAUGAAUAAAGAUUUAAUUUUUCUCGAAAUAUUUUUU
Molecule: long non-coding RNA, 365 nt
Filed under: Panax ginseng (ginseng)
Lineage: Eukaryota; Viridiplantae; Streptophyta; Magnoliopsida; Apiales; Araliaceae
Description: long non-coding RNA (PGIN_LNC018102)
Source: RNAcentral